This 1012-nucleotide long non-coding RNA is filed under the name Rattus norvegicus (Norway rat). RNAcentral's name for it is "long non-coding RNA NONRATT003727". The record is from RNAcentral. Lineage: Eukaryota; Metazoa; Chordata; Mammalia; Rodentia; Muridae.
CGGCGUUCGCAGAUUUGGAUCUAAGAGCGGGCUCAGACCUGAAGGCUCUGCGCGGACUCGUGGAGACCGCUGCUCACCGAAAUUGAAAAGCCAGUAGCAGUUUCUGAGCUCUUCACAACUUUACCAAUUGUACAGGGAAAAUCAAGACCAAUUAAAAUUUUAACUAGAUUGACAAUUAUAGUUACAGAUCCGUCUCACUGUAAUGUUUUGAGAGCAACUUCUUCAAGGGUCCGGCUGUAUGAUAUUGUUGCAGUGUUUCCAAAGACAGAAAAACUUUUUCAUGUUGCUUGUACACACUUAGAUGUGGAUUUAGUCUGUAUCACCGUAACAGAGAAAUUACCAUUUUACUUCAAAAGACCUCCUAUUAAUGUGGCGAUCGAGCGAGGCCUGGGCUUUGAGCUGGUCUAUGGUCCUGCUAUCAGAGACGCAACCAUGAGAAGAACGUAAUUCUGUCCAGUGCUGCAGAAAGGCCUUUGGAAAUAAGAGGACCAUAUGACGUGGCCAACUUAGGGCUGCUGUUCGGGCUGUCCGAAAAUGAAGGCAAGGCUGCCGUGUCCACAAACUGCCGAGCUGCAUUUCUCCAUGGAGAAACUAGGAAAACUGCUUUUGGAAUUAUUUCUACAGUGAAGAAGCCCCGGUCAUCAGAAGCAGAGGAUGAAUCUCUUCCAGCGUGCAAGAAAGCUAAACAUGAGGGCUGAGGAGACAGCCUGAGUCUCCAUCACGCUGCUCCUCCCCUCACAGCUCAUCAGUCACUGCAAAUACACUCCGCUCGGCUGACGUUUUCACUAAACUAGAAACCAAGUCUAUAAAAACAGCUUCAUAUUCAGACAUUAAAACAGCAAAUAAAACCCAGUGAAGCAUUUUUAAAGACUAACGAUUAAUUUAGAUAUACUUUUAAAAGAAAAACUAUUACCCUUCAUGUGAGUAAUGAAUAGCAGUAGGUGCACUGAAACAAGAUGUCUCGAUAUUGUAAAAUAUUGAAAAAUAAUAAAUUAAUGUUUUUUGUUCUUGG